RNAcentral lists this ribosomal RNA (505 nucleotides) under uncultured bacterium. RNAcentral's name for it is "partial 16S ribosomal RNA". It matches the Rfam family "Bacterial small subunit ribosomal RNA", at positions 30 to 523 of the family's 1533-position model. The record is from RNAcentral.
AUUGAACGCUGGCGGCAGGCUUAACACAUGCAAGUCGAGCGGGGUGAUGGUGCUUGCACUAUCACUUAGCGGCGGACGGGUGAGUAAUGCUUAGGAAUCUGCCUAUUAGUGGGGGACAACAUCUCGAAAGGGAUGCUAAUACCGCAUACGUCCUACGGGAGAAAGCAGGGGAUCACUUGUGACCUUGCGCUAAUAGAUGAGCCUAAGUCGGAUUAGCUAGUUGGUGGGGUAAAGGCCUACCAAGGCGACGAUCUGUAGCGGGUCUGAGAGGAUGAUCCGCCACACUGGGACUGAGACACGGCCCAGACUCCUACGGGAGGCAGCAGUGGGGAAUAUUGGACAAUGGGGGGAACCCUGAUCCAGCCAUGCCGCGUGUGUGUGAAGAAGGCCUUAUGGUUGUAAAGCACUUUAAGCGAGGAGGAGGCUCUUUUGGUUAAUACCCAAGAUGAGUGGACGUUACUCGCAGAAUAAGCACCGGCUAACUCUGUGCCAGCCGCCGCCGUAA